Molecule: ribosomal RNA, 331 nt
Filed under: Philoponella variabilis
Lineage: Eukaryota; Metazoa; Arthropoda; Arachnida; Araneae; Uloboridae
Description: partial 12S ribosomal RNA
Source: RNAcentral
AUUUAAAUAAAAUUAGGUAGUAUUAUUAUUUUAAUAGAACCUAAAUAUAAUGGCGACAUAUAAUUUUAUUAGAGGAACCUGUCCCUUAAUCGAUAACCCACGAUAUUAUAAACUUAAAUCUAUAAAUUUAUAUACCGCCAUAAAAGAAUUUUUUAUAAACUAUAAUUCAAAAAAAUAUUAUAAAAAAAUAGGUCAAGGUGUAAUUUAAAUUUAAGAGAGGAUGUGUUACUUUAAAUAUUAUUUAAGGAUAAUAAUAAAUAAAUUUUAUUUUAAAAAGGAUUUAUAAUUAAAUGUAAAAUUUAAUUUACAUUGAAUUAAAUUAAAUAUGUGC